GAACAGAACAGAGGAAGAGAAGAAGCUCAAAAUAUGGCGGCAGAGUCAUCAUUGAGGGUGGCGACGACCACUCUUUGCAACCUCAAUGGGUCUCAGAGAAGACCAACCCCUCUCUCUCCGCUUCGCUUCAUGGGUUUUCGCCCUCGACCUUCUCACUCUCUCACUUCCUCUUCCCUCUCACACUUUUUCGGGAGCACACGCAUUAACUCCAAUACUCACUUUCCACGCCAACAUGCUCCCAGAAGACCCUUUUCUGUUUUCGCCAUGGCCGCUGAUGGUAUUUAUCUCCUUUUCUCUAAUAAUUUGUUUUAUUUUUUUCUAACUUCCUUUCUGCAUCGCGACUACUCUAAUGUUUUGAAGUGGACUUUGAUUCUCGAGGGAAAUCGAAAUGAAUGUUACUGGCACACUUCUUUUUCUACAGUUUCCGGUUUUCGUUUGGUUUGGUUCAAUUCUGUAUCGUGCUUAAUAUUUGUGUUAUCCUUGAAUUUCGGCUUCAGUUGUGAUAUUACGGAGAAAACCAUAAUUUGUCUGUUCAAUUGAGGUUUUAGGUUAGCUAAGGUGUCUUUAAAGAUAAUGUUUUUUCGUAUUUUGGUCCAAUUUUAUUCUGUAAGACUGUGAAAUGUGGUUUGUUUUCUUUCAUCCUUUUGGAAAUGACCCUUUCUAACUUUGCUUCCAGAAUCAAAGAGGAGUGUUCCACUGAAUGAUUAUCGCAACAUAGGUAUCAUGGCUCACAUAGAUGCUGGAAAGACUACUACGACUGAACGAAUUUUGUAUUAUACCGGAAGGAACUACAAAAUUGGAGAAGUGCAUGAGGGAACUGCAACCAUGGACUGGAUGGAACAAGAACAAGAAAGAGGGAUUACCAUUACUUCUGCUGCAACCACUACAUUUUGGAAUAAGCACCGGAUCAACAUUAUUGAUACUCCCGGUCAUGUCGACUUCACCUUAGAAGUGGAGCGAGCUCUUAGGGUGUUGGAUGGAGCUAUAUGCUUGUUUGACAGUGUUGCUGGUGUGGAACCACAAUCAGAGACUGUGUGGAGGCAGGCAGACAAAUAUGGGGUUCCACGAAUUUGUUUUGUCAACAAAAUGGACCGUCUUGGAGCAAACUUUUAUCGAACAAGAGACAUGAUAGUAACAAAUUUGGGUGCUAAACCACUUGUAAUUCAGUUACCAAUUGGUUCAGAAGAUAGUUUUAAGGGAGUUAUAGACCUUGUUAGGAUGAAAGCUAUAGUUUGGUCAGG
This 1241-nucleotide long non-coding RNA is filed under the name Phaseolus vulgaris (common bean). Its description in RNAcentral is "long non-coding RNA (PVUL_LNC004179)". Lineage: Eukaryota; Viridiplantae; Streptophyta; Magnoliopsida; Fabales; Fabaceae. The record is from RNAcentral.